AAUAUUUUAUACAAAAUAUCGUUAAUAUUAUAAUGUAAUAUUAAAAGAUGAUUUAUAAUCAAUUUAUUAGCUUAUAUUUAAAAAUUAUUCGCAUUAGUACAUAAUUCUCCUUUAUUUUAUGUACAUUUUCAUGUUCUUCACAAAAAAGAAGAUUGUAUUUUCAGUCUAAAUUGAGGGGGUCUUUUGGUAGAAUUCCAUUUUGAAUUAAUUAGUUUGAUAUUUAGUUAGAAAGAGGGCAGCUGAAAGUUAAUUACCUUUAACAAUUGCCUGCUUCACAAUUGAUUUCAGUGGACGUAGAUAUAGGGAUGGCAAAAAUCCCCACGGGGACGGGUACCUUCGGGAAUUUUUCCCAUUCGGGGAGGGUAUGAGGAUAAUUUCAUACCUAAUUUCUUAUUCGGGGAAGGGACGUGGAAAGUUUUUCACCCAAUUUCUUAUUCGGGGAGGGGACGGGGAUGAGGUGGAAUCCCCAUCCCCUACCCAUUUUCCCAUUUUUAU
This 495-nucleotide long non-coding RNA is filed under the name Citrus x clementina. RNAcentral describes it as "Citrus clementina (C. clementina) long non-coding RNA (CCLE_LNC005346)". Lineage: Eukaryota; Viridiplantae; Streptophyta; Magnoliopsida; Sapindales; Rutaceae. The record is from RNAcentral.